CAGAUGUGAAAGACCCGGGGCGUCAACCUACGGAAGUAGCAUUUGUAAACUAGGCAGACUAGAGUACUGUAGAGGGGGGUAGGAAUUUCUAGGUGUAGCGGUGAAAUAGCGUAGAGAUCUGAAGGAAUACCGGUGGCGAAGGCGGCCCCCUCGGACAGAUACUGACACUCAGAUGCGAAAGCGUGGGGAGCAAACAGGAUUAGAUACCCUGGUAG
Molecule: ribosomal RNA, 215 nt
Filed under: uncultured bacterium
Lineage: Bacteria
Description: partial 16S ribosomal RNA
Rfam family: Bacterial small subunit ribosomal RNA
Source: RNAcentral